UAUGUUUCUUCUUAUAUCAAUUCAUUUUCAUAGAAAAUCAAACACAGAUAUAUAUAUCCAUGAACACAUAUCCAACACAUGUUACCAAUAGCCAUGAACACAUAUCCAACACAUGUUACCAAUAGUCAUGAACACAUAUAUAUCCAACACAUAUCCAUGAACACAUAUCCAACACAUAUUACAAGGAGACAAAGGAGAGAACCAAUACCAAAGAGCCAAAGGAGAGAACCAGCACCACACUUGCACCUGGUAUUUUUCUGCAAUUAGGGAACUGCACCCACAAGCACAGGGGGCUAGUACCAUUAUAAACUGCUAAAAAAAUCACUGAUGCAUCUUCACACAAAAAAAUCCAGCUACUUGUGAGCCUAGCCUAAUUAAAUGGCCAUCUCUUUUACUUCCAUGAUAGUGCCUGAAAUGUCAGAUAUACAAGAAAGGAAAUCAUUUACUUGUGAAUAUUCCAAAUGAAGAGCAGAACCUAGAAUAAUUUGCCUUUGCUAAAAUAAAUAAAUUGAGAACGAAGAUAAUAGUUUCAAGUGACAACUCACCAUUUCCCUUUGGUAGCAUGCCAAGGAAGCACUCUCUUGACUGUGACCCCCCGAUCACAUUCAGUUCCGCUCCCUGCAGGCACAAGAAUUUUCUUUCUAUUCCAUUUCGCACCAUAUCUCAGCCAUCAUUCACCAUGCAUCUGGACAACUUCGGACCCAGCAAGGUUUUUUCUACAAAGAUCAAAGUGUUAAGUAUAAGUUGUUAGGAGAAAAAGUGAAUUUUAUGGCACGUGUACUCUUUUCCCACCACAUGUAAAUUUUAGGAGGAAAAGCCAGCUACAGCCAUCAACCACAAAAUACUAACCAAUAUCCACAAAUAUGAAAAUAUUGCAAUGAAUACAUGUUGCACGCCACUGCAGCCUGCAUCACUUCAUUAAAAACAUCACCACUUUCAUAGUAGCAAGAUACAAGCACUUACGCUUAUUCUAAAUAUAGGCAACAAGCAUCCAACCAGCAGAAUGGUGAGAUGUCAGUUCAUCGAAAACUGUUUGUCUGUUCAACAAGGAGAAUAUAUCAAGGGAAAGGGUAAGAAUCUAGAUUUAUUUUCUUUUAUCUUGCAUGCCUGCUACAAGUGUGAAUCAACCUAUACAUUGCAACGGAAAUAUGGACUUACAUAAUGUAUAAUUGUAAGUGCAUAACAUCCAAAUGGACAGAACGGUAGCAUAGAUGGAUACCUAAACUAAAAUAAGCAUGUUCAAGUCUUAUCAAAUAGAAAAACCAUAGGAGCAUGAUCAUGUCCUAAUACCCAAUAUUAAAGCAUAGAGCAAUGAAUAGUAGAACUUAAAUAGGAAACAUGGUUUUCUGAAACAUAAAUUCAGAUUUGUGCAGGUUGCCCAGACUAUAUGACCAGUUUAGGAAUUACUAUAAUCAAGGAAGGAGACCUUUUUCAAGAGCCAGCGUACUCGGAUAUCGUCCUUAUGAUUCAUCACAACAAACAAUUAACUUAACGCAAAAUUGUUUGCGAUGCAUAUAUUUUGCAUAUCAAUGCAAGGGAACAAAACCAAAACUCUGUGAUGGGGAUCAUGGAAGGUUCUUUUCUCAUAAUUUAUGACCUGUUUAGGAUUUAUAAUCAAAGAAGGGACCUUUUUUAAGAGCCGCCUUGCUAUACUGACCUAGUGAUUCAUCACAGCAAACUAUUCAGUUAACAAAAGAUAUCAGCUAAGCAUGAACUUUGGAAACUUCUGUGCAUCAUACACUAUAAUCAUUCCUUAGGUGGUAGAAAGGGGAAGGAAUGAGAGGAGGGAUACCUCGGCCGGGACCUCGUCUACGACCUGAAGCUCAUUGGGAAGGGGUUAAAGCUGCUGCUGCAAGCUCCCACUCCGCUUAUCUGCCAUCCAAUGCAGAUCCAGCACAUGAGAUUGUCCACGAGCAAAACAGCUCACACCUAUAGACUUAGCAAAAGCACGAUCAAGUAUGCAUGGUCAAAUAGCCGAAUGUUCUGCUGUAAGAUGAUGACAUAAACCAACCAUCCAGCAAAACAUUUUCUUUCAUGUCACAGUAAUCUAAAUAGUGAAAAGUCAAGACUCUGACAAGUUUGUAAGCAGAAAAGGCUUGCAAUUAAUAAUGGCCAGGAUACCUUAUGGAUUAGUAAAUAGAAAAAACAAUGAUAACAUAUUGGAUGGCCAAGAGCAACAAAAAAAGAACAUAAGAUGCAGUUAAAUUUCAGUGCAUAUACACUGUAAAGUUAAUAGGUAGGGAUCCAAGUUGCAUGCUCAAGCUAGGUAACUACCAGAAAUUACACCACUUAGUGUUGUAGCGUGGUCUUUCUUGUUUCCUCCUACAUCUAGGUAACUACCAACAUCCAGAUCUAAGUCGACAUAGCAUCACAGAUAUAAUUGGCCUUUGACAACAGCUACUCAAUCGUAAUAAGUGAGGAGGGAGAGGAAGAUGCCAAGAACUACUCUUUCUGCCCAUGUUAAUAACUGGCGUCUCUGUUUUACUUUCCUUAACAUCAGAAUUGAUGAUAUUCAUUUGCUUCUAUUCAGGUCAUACAAAAGCCAGUGUAUCUAUGUAGAAUCAUCAUCUGAUAUUUAAGCAUCUGAUCCUAAAAAUACGCAUAAUUCAAAGAACGAAACUGUUGUUCAUAGUUGCUUCUGAAUGUACACAUAUUCAGAGAAAGAAACAAUGAGCUGUUACAUCUAAGCUGACGAAAGACACAUUAAUUUAACCAGAGGCGGAGGACGGAAAAAAAUUAAGGUGUGGCAAACUGUCAACUAGACAAAAUUGAUGCCCCCUCAAUAAAAAAGUUGAUGCAAAAACAUAAUAGCCAAUUCGAUAGGCCGCGGGUCGAGACGGUGUUAGGGAUGGAUGGACGGGCGGGGGCCGCGGUGUUGUUGGGCACAAAUCGCCGGCGGCGGAGGCAGGCCAUCAUCAGCAUAGCAGACUCAAAUCGGCAGGUUGGCGGGGAAUACGAUUGCGCUGCCGACGGCGGGGUCGGGGAUGGGCCGACGGGCGACGGCGGCGCGUCUCAGGGCAAAAAUCGCCCGCGGGCGGGCUGGCGGAAGUCAAUCAUGUACUAUUAUAUAUGUCAUAAGAAAAAAAAUACAUGUUGCACGCAUCAACAAAAAUUUAUCCAUUCUGUUUUUGGAUCGCUUAGUCACGAGUUCCAUCAGGAGCGAGCCGCGGAGAGAAUCGAUCCAAUCGUUGUGCAGCGGAAGCGAGCUGGUUCGCGUACGUAGUGAGAUGGGCAUGUGCUGUCUACAUAGUGAGAUGGGCAUGUGCUGGACAACACAUCAAUCAAGCUGCCUGCUUGUGUGCUUCCAAUCUAACUUACGUGCUUCAUCUAGCUUUGUUUGGGUGAAUCGAUCUAGCGUGGUCUAAAACUAACAAGCAAUAUUUCCAUCAAGAAAAGUAUAUGCUUAUAUAUAUAUAUAUAUAAAAAUUUGGUGGAAAUCAAGGUGUGGCGGCUGCCACACCUUGCCCACUGGGCUCCUCCGCCAGUGAAUUUAACCAAAUGAAGAGAAUACCUGGAGGGCAGUUGGUGACCAGAAUGCUAUGCCGGCCACAUGCAUGACUCCUAAUCAGAGUGGUGUCGCCGGCCUGUAGGGGAGCUCAGGGCAGCGGCUUGAGGCUGGAGAGGGAUGCGUCGGAUGGGGAUUUGGGGAAAGGAG
This 3655-nucleotide long non-coding RNA is filed under the name Triticum aestivum (bread wheat). RNAcentral's name for it is "long non-coding RNA (TAES_LNC016109)". Lineage: Eukaryota; Viridiplantae; Streptophyta; Magnoliopsida; Poales; Poaceae. The record is from RNAcentral.